Biomphalaria pfeifferi is the source of this 3654-nucleotide non-coding RNA. The record is from the annotation of a GenBank genome assembly. NCBI's taxonomy places the organism in Eukaryota, Metazoa, Mollusca, Gastropoda, Planorbidae.
CCCCCCCUACACAAAUACAGAAUUGUAGGGUAGACAAUAACAAUCCAUUUUUUCGAUGGUCUUAGGCGACCCCUGGCAAAUGGUCAAUCGACCCCCAAAGGGAUCGCGAUCCACAGGUUGAGAACCCCUGCCAUAAAGUAAACAAUGUCAAGGAAGCUAAAUUGAACCUAUAAAUUGCCAACUAAAUAACAGUCAGGAACAGAUGAGGUUUCAAAAAUGCAAUACUGCAAUGCUAAAAUUGCAUACCUAUUGUCACGUAACUUAUUAAAAUUAAAACUUUAUAUUGUACCGGAUACACAAAAAGCUAGCUAUUUUUUAGUAUUUAUGGUUUUACUCCAUGGAUAAAAAUCUCUGAUUUAAAAAAAAACAAAACAACUUUUCAAGAUGAAAUCUUUUUAAAAAAUUUGGAUCAAUGUCUGGUGUAGAUGUAAUAUAUCUAGGUGAGUGAUUUAGAGCUAAACAUAGUUGAAUAUUUGUAUUGGUACGAAGGAAAUCAUGACAAAGUUGCAAGUGCUAAUCACAUAAGGCGAAGCCUGAAAGGUCAAACACAAGGAACACGUAUGAAUAUGUCAAAGUCUAUCACCUCACAGUGUAAAGCACAACAUCAAACAGGGUUAACAAAUACCUGAGAAAUAAAAAGAAUUUCUACAACUGCAACAAUUGUAAUAAUUACAUACUGUAUUUUCUUUUGCUUUCAAAUUAUUAAGACGACAACGGCGUAUAUUUAAUAAGAAUAUAAUCUAAAUGUUUAUUUACAGAUUGAUUCUAAAAUGAUUAGUUAUAACAAGAGGUUAGGGUUAACAAGUUUGUAUGUUGUUUUGCUUUGUUUUUUCCCUAAGGAUUUUAAGGGUUAAGUAUAACUUGGAAAUGUUUUGUCUUACAAACGAGAAGUGAGCUUAUACAUUGUUGACAUUGGACAGUGUGACAAGAGAUGUGACAUACAUGACGGUGUAAGAUGGCGAAAUGGAUGAUUCAUAUCAAUGUAAUGCUGAGGGAAAUAACAGAUGAUGUUAAAAACACGAUUAGAAAUGUUAGUGUCAGUGUAUAUGUGAAUCAUCAAAACAAAACAUCAUGGCAUGUAAUGAAAGUAUUGAUGUACGAGUGAAUCAAGGCUAUGAAACAUUGAUAACAGUUGACAAUAGUGAAUAAACCUAUCUUCUAAUUAACUUAGAAAGUGUGUGUGCGUGUGACAUUUAAGAUUCUAGAAACGGCAGCUUUCAAUAUAGAAACCAUAAGAUAUAAUUACAUGUGUGAUAUACAGUUAUGAAUGAGUGUGUGUUGUUUGUAGUGAUCUCUCUAACAGGGGUGGCCUCCACAGACUAAAAGCAUUGAAAAUAUUGUAUCAAAUUUCAAAUAUAGCAGAGCACUAGGGCUCUACGUCUACUAGCCUAGAUCUAAGUCUCUACUAUGACUCAAUGUUUAUUGACAAAUGGGUUAAAUUUAUUUGUUAGACUACUUAUGGUAGAAUACCCUUGUUGUUUUUUUUUAAUUUGAGGCCACUGAAUUCACUUUGCCUAGAGCCUUCAAUUACCUAAGGCCGGCCCUGCAACAAACACAACUAAAUAAGCUUAUGAGCAUCUGGAAAUUAGUGUGUAUCAUUGGUGAAGUGUCUUUGCAGACUUCUCAGCAUGAGUUUAUCAUUCAAGACACAUUACUGAUUCAUUGAUGUUGUGAAUGACAGUAUAGUAUUGUGACAGUGUGAUAUUGUAAAAAUGUAAUUGUGAGUUUCAGUGACAACAGGAAAAAAUUUUAAUUUCUAAUGACAGCACAGGAUGUGAAACUUAGUGUGACAGAAACAUAAUGUUUCCUUAAAAAAAUUUGGGGUAAAUUUGGGCGUAUACCAAAUGGACAGAGCCUGGCUAUAUAACCUGCUGUAACACUUGUGUCAAGAUUUUAACACGUGGGACCUGCUAAUGAGACAGUAUGAAGUACACUUAGAAGAGCACACAUCAACAAUGUGGAUCGGUGACUAAUGACAUAGAAAUACAUCCUUGUAAACACAUCAUACAAACAGAAACAAGUUUUGUAACAUUCCCUAAAUUAAAGAAUGAAACAUCUAAUCAUUAUUUUAUUAAUGAAUUCAUUUUGUAUAGUUAUGUGGUUUUUGUUUUUCAAAUAUAAAACUGUAACAUUACCAAAGAAAUACAAACAAACCAAGGCGAAAUUUGUACAAAGCUUAGAGGCAUUGGUUUUAAGAAUGUACAUAAAAUCAUGUUUAGAGAAGAUCUAAAAAAAACAUAAUCCUAAUGUUAAGGCUAGAAAAACAUGAAUUUCACAGGAAAAAUUCAAAGCACGAUUUUUCACAAUCUCUUUCUAACAAUGCAACUUCUAUAAGGGGGUUCUUAACCUUUGGGGACUUCUUGACCAAAAAUUAACCCAGAAAUCUUAAAAGGAAUAGUGCUAAAUAUUUCUUAAUUUUAAUUUAGACCAAAUGUAUAAUAACUUAGAAACAAAUACAAAAAAAAAGAUCAGUUAGAUUUAGUUACACCCUUAAUGAAAUGGGGUGCAGGCACUCCGAUUAAGAACCCCCUGCAAUAUCGUAUUCGAUAUCAAUCAUAAUAAGUUUAAACAUUUAGAUUAACAUCUAAAAUAUUUAGUUAUAUAUUAGGUACGUAUGUAUCUCCAUAAACACACACAAAAAUCACGGUAUAAUAAAUAACUAAUUCUGCAUCUGAAAUGUAUGAUUUGUUUGUAAAAUCUAUAUACAUCAACAAUAUUUUUUUUUCAUAAUAUACAUUUGCAUACAUUAACAGUUUCAUAUCUCAAGAGUGUAGAGACAAAAACAUAAAAAUGGAACAAAUCAUUACGUCAGUUUGUCGAAUAGUUGGCCUGCAACAUAGGUUUUAAGAUACCAGCCUGUCUGGGUGUAAAUAAAAUAAGUAGAAAGGCUUCAUUCAUUUGUUGUAUUUUGCGCACACACACACAAAUAUCAACAGAUUAUAGUUUGGACAACGAUGAAGCAGGGUUUGUUAAAGAGGACACUUUCAGUAAAAGAAUGUCAGGUCUAACAGGAUGAAGCAAACACAUUAUCAUAAUAUUUUUUUAAGGUUCAAAGUUACAUAGACGUAUAAGCCUCUUUUUACUUGUUUUCAGUCCGGAUUGACACGACCCAUAGCAACGCCACUGCAAAGUAAACACUACACUUAUUAAAGAAAAAAAACAAUCUUUCAUGGCGUAAAGUUGACCAGCUAAAAUGUUGACAUUGUAGAAGCUUCACGACAGUAAAAAAUAAUUUUUAACAUUAAAUUUAGGCAUUUAGGUUGCAACCUAUAUCGUGUUCGAAUGUUUUUAAGUUAUGCAUAGUAAAGAAAAAGGAGAGAAGGCACGUUGCGAUUACACAAAUAUCAGGACGUCGACAGAGAGAGAGGAUAAGAGAAACUGUGGGACUUUUCCAGAAAAAAAAAUCCAACCUGCAUAUUGUGCCAUUAACCUUAUAUUAUUUCAAAAUUAUUAGGAUAAUCCUAAAUAUCAAAAGAGAAUAAAAAGCAUUAUCAUUCAGCCAUAUCUAGCUUUGUGCGUGAAAAUAGAAAAAAAAAAGAGAAUUAUUUCCCUUUAUGUAAAGGUACCCUGCUCCUUGCACACACAUUUAAAUUGAGAAAGAAAGAAAAAUUAUGUUAGCCAUUUUUUUUAAAAGAAGAGGUGGGGGGGAGGGGG